RNAcentral lists this long non-coding RNA (40905 nucleotides) under Setaria viridis. Its description in RNAcentral is "long non-coding RNA (SVIR_LNC007656)". Lineage: Eukaryota; Viridiplantae; Streptophyta; Magnoliopsida; Poales; Poaceae. The record is from RNAcentral.
AGGAAUGAUGUGCUAGUAAACUACCUGUUAAAGUUUUGAUGGGUGCUAUGUGCCUGUUGAACUAAUUAUAAUUAAAUGAUUGAAGUAUUUUGGCAUGUGUCUGGAGUGUAUUCUGCAUUUCUUGAUGCCCUCUUGAGUUAUUGUAUUGCCAGGUCCAUUUCUUUCUUCAUGUAUGAGCUUGGUACUAAUGAAUGAUGACUUGUAUGUGGGAUAUCAAAACUGGAAUGUGAUGAGAACUACUGGUGGUUCAUGUAUCUAUAUCUUUGUAUUUGUGGGAACAAUGGGUGUUACACAAAGUCGGUGGUGUUUGGCUGCAAAGCAACCCUGGUACUGGGCAGCUCUAUCCAACCCUACGCGCUCAAAGUCAAUGAUGUUUGGGGUUCUUGUGUGCUGAUCUUAGCUAAUAAAUAUUAAAAAAUUGCUAACAGAGUUGAAAACAGACAAUGGUAGCUUGAAAAUCUGUCUGCGAAGUAUACAUUUGUUCUAGGAAGUAUUUACAUUUUGUGAUAAUAUAUGAUCCCUAAUUCUAUAUAACCAUGUUAGUGGCAGAGGCAAUUGAUACCUCACAUGCCUAUCUGAAACAACCUAUAUGCAGCUUGUCCUUUCUCACUGUAGUAGAAUAAUUUUAAUGAGUGCUCUUAUAUCAUCAUGUUGCAUAUUGUUAGAUGCCUAGAGUUCAGUGAUAUUGGUAUUGAGCCAAAUAUCAUCGCAUUUGGUGGAAUUGUGUGAAUCAGUGAGAGUUUAGGCUGUAAGCAUGUAUGUCUACACUACUUCUCCUAGUUGCAGUCUAUAUAUUUUCCCUGUGUCUCUGAAAGCCAUGUUGAUAAAUCUCCUCUGAAUAAGAUGCCUCAGCUCCUAGUUGAGUAGAAACUCCUAAUUUGGUUGCAAAGAGUUAGAGAAAUUGAUUUUGUGAUAUAUUUUCCAUUAUUAUUUAUAUUCUCUUGCAUUUUGGUUUUUCCAAUCAAGUAGAGAUAACAUGUUGAAGCUAUUACUAUUUCUUAUAGCACAUUCUUAUUUCUCUGAAGCUAUUUCUCUAUCCAUGGAUGUUUACAUGAGUUUGCUUUUUAUUUCAAAGCCAAGAUUUGUUCUUCUCUUCUUUGCUUUAAUAUAUGCCAGAUUUGGUGUGUGAAUUUUCUAGUUCGGCUAUUGGUAUGAUCUAUCUUGUCCAUCCAAGUCUCCCUGUCCACCUAUCCAAAUUAAUGAGUUCAUGUGCUGCUAGUCUUGAAACUUGACCUGACUUAUUGUUUCAUAUAUUGCAGACUGGUUUGGAGCAGUUGAAAGAAAUUUUCAAGAACUACAAGAAUCAGGCAAAUAAGAAGCUUGAUGACAUGGCCAAGAAGCUUGAAAAAAUUAAACGGAGGGCCAAAAAGCUACUUGAAGCAUUAGACAAGAGGUAGGUUAACAAGUUGGUUGACAAACUGUUUAGUUUGGUCUGUACAUAAAUUAGAUAAUCCAUGCUGGAACCUCUAGUGCUAGAGUGGAAUAGAUGCUUUUGUAAUGCAAGAAGUGCUAGAUUAAUUGUUGCUCACGAUGUAUUGUUCUUGUAAUAUAUUAUGAGACUUCCACACAAGGGCUUCACUUGACCGAUACCUUACCAGAUUUGUUUCCAUCGUUUAUACCUUACCAGAUUUGUUUCCAUUUUUUAUAUGUGAACGUGGAUUUCAGUUUUUGCUUGGGCCAUUCUGUUUGUUUGUACGAAUUGGACCAUAUGUUGCAGAAAGUGGUCAUCUAUGUUUCCAAUUGAGCAACUGCUUCAACUCCAGGAAGACCAUGUCGAAAAGAAUCCAAUGCCAACAGAGACAAAAAGUCAUCCAAAGAUCCUGGUAAGCAGCGCAGCGAUUGCGCGUUCAACCCCAGGAUUCCUAUUAAGCCAUCAUGUUGAUAAGUCUCCUCCAGAUCUGAAUAAUUAGCGGCAAUAACAUCAUAUUUCAUGCAACCACUUAUUUUUUGUUGCUAUAUAGAUAAAUGUAUCGCAACGCACAUACGAAUUAAGACAACACACCAAAUUUGUGGCAAUACUGUUUACGACUUGCAACCAUUUUGAAUUUAGUGGCAAUAAGCCUUGCAUAUUGCAACAAAAAAAAGCUUUAUAACAAUGCAAAAUAAUUGUGGCAAAUUUUACAGCGACUUCCAACCAUUUUUCAACUGGUGGUGAUAACAACUAUCUAUUGCAACAUAUUUUCUAUUGUUGCCAUGGGCUCUGUGGCAACGUGAUAAAUUAGUGGCAAUAUUGCUUACUACUUGCAACAAUAUUGUAUUUCAUGGCAAUAACCCUUAUAUAUUGCCAAAAAAAAUCAUUAUAAUAACACAAAGCACAUGUCGCAACAGAAUUAGCUAUUUGCCACCAAUUUUCAAAUGGUUGCGACAACAUCAAUCUUUUGCAACGGAAUUCCACAAUGGUGGCAAUAACACCUAUCUAUCGCAUCCAAAUUUGAAUUGUUGCAAUGGGCUCUGUCGGUGUUUUAGACUGGCAACCCACCUAGGGGGUACCCUAGGUGGUCUUUUGUGCGGUGGGUGUCAUCGAGAAUCAAGGAGUCGAUCCUGACAUACGGAACACAAUUUAGACAGGUUCGGGCCGCUAGAUCUCGUAAUACCCUACGUCCUGUGUGUUGAUUGUAUUGAACUUAGAUGAUCUGUUUGGAGGGGGUUCCUGCCCGCCCUUAUAUGAUCGGGGGAGUAGGGUUACAGGGUAGAAACCUUGUCAGGUACGGUUACAGAGUCCUACUUGGUCUAGAUAGAGUAGUUUCCAUAUAUAUUCCAUCUAGUCUUUAGGAGUCCGAGUGGGCCACGCUUCCCUGCCACGUAGCCCCCAAGCCCUGAUCUCAUUCAAGUACGCCCCUGAGUGGGCCAUACAGGGCCUACUCGUGAGCCUGGGGAUGUAUGCCCGACAAGCCCCCGAGUACUUUGUAGUCGAGUGGAAUAGGUCCGAGUACUCAGAAGUCGUUAUCCGAGUAAAUCCUGGUGCUUUGUUGUGAUGUCUUCGAGUACUGAGUACUGUCACGUGGCUAGAAGGUACUCUUCAUCUGUUGUUGCUUCGAGUUACUUUUUCCUUGGAGAUUAUAUGGUAGUGCGAUGACUAUCGCACUCCAUAUAGAGUAGCCCCCGAGCCUUAGGUUGAAUCGAAGAAUCAGGCUGAGGGUCAAUCCUGUGUUUUUGCUUUAGUAGUCUUCAGAAAAAAGAAAACUUUGUCCAGCGGAUAUGGUAUCUGCAGCUCCCGAGCACUUAGGCGGUUAUUUGUAGUCGAUGAAGUGGUCAAACCUCUUGGUCAGAGUAUCCGUUGGGAAUUAUGGUGAUAAAUCUGAUUUAUUUCUGACCGUUGCUUAAUUGACGCUUGGAAUCUGGAGGUGAUGGAGAUAUAACAGGGUGGGCCCAGUAUGUUCUUUUUUAGCAGAUCUAUUUUGUGUGCUUCUUUCCUGUUCAUCUUUCUGCUGCCGUCCUUUCUUGUGCCGCUGCCACCAUUGUUGCUCUCUUCUUGCCCUUGAGUGAGAUCCGCUGCCGAUCCUUCUCUUUUUUACUUUUCCCGAGGCUGACUGAUGCAUGUCAAAAAGAUAGGUAAGAAACUGAAGAAAACCCAAGGGCAAGCUGCGGCCGCCAGUAAGGUGAGAUCCAAAUCCAAAAAGGGGAAAGAGCUCGUGCUGCUGGCACCGAAGUGUGGCCUGACAAAUCAGACUGCACCGCCGCUGCCUGGGAUCAUCUGGCAGCACUCCGUGAUGAGGGAACCAGCGGUCCAGGCUUUGGUUGAUGCUAAGCUUCUUCAAUCAAAGCUUGAACUCGAGUGGAGGCCUGCUUUUGGCAAUGCGUGGUAGUUUGAGGAGCAUCCGAAGGAGACUUUCAUGCUUGCACACUUUGUCAAUAGAGGACUGGCAGUGCCCACUUCCAAAUUUUUCAAAGGUAUUCUCGGGUACUAUAAUCUUCAGUUAGUUCACCUGAACCCCAAUGGCGUGCUCCAUAUGGCUAUCUUUGUCCAUUUGUUUGAAGUAUACCUGGGUGCCCCUCCUAGUCUUGAGCUUUUUAGAAAGUUUUUUCAUUGUAAGCCGCAGGCCAGUGCAUCUGGGACGGAGGUUUUUGGAGGGGCCGAGUUUCAGCUUAGGAACUUGAGUGCUUAUCUCGAGUAUGUUUUGCCUGACUCUCAUGGCGACUGGAAAAAGAGAUGGUUUUAUAUUGGAAACCAUGAUCCUAUCUUACUAGUAGUCACUGGACACGCUCCAAAGCAUGCGGAGAAUUGGGUAAGCGAGCCUGAGGACACCCCUGAAAUUGCUAACUUGUUGACUCAGAUUGCUGAGUUGAGAUUGUUGGGCUUGACUGGCAUCAAUGUGGCUGCUAGUUUUCUUAAGCGGAGGGUUCAUCCUUUGCAGCAACGAGCUCGCUCAGGCUCGAAGUACUCGGGUUUUGAUGACCCGUCACGGAUGUCCCCUGAUGAGGCAGAGCUCAAGAGAAAAGAGGCUGCUGUGAGUAGCCAGCUUCUUGACUGGAGGAAUGCUCAUGACCGGGUAGCUGAUGAGGCUGACCGUCUCCGGGCAUCACUAGCUGAAGCUCAGGCUGCAUGUGAGCAUUAGAGGGAUAGAAAAAAUCAAAACGGAGUUAUGCUUGCUAUGACCAUGGUGGCCUGUAGAGAUCAUGGUAGGACCAUAGGAAGGCUUCGAGGUGAGCUCCAAGAAUUGACUAGUGCUGCGCAGGACGUAGUUAAUGUCAUCGCUCCGCUUGAAGAUGAUGCUGAGCCUCGCUCACUAGUCGAGCGGCUGAAGACUGCUCCGGGUAAGGUUGCUGGCCUUUGCAAGGCUGUUUGCAAACAAGUCCUUGCAGUGGUCAAGUCAUAUUACCUGAGGGCAGAUUUGAUGGCGGUUGGUGACGGUGUUGCUGGAAACUGCACAAAGGAUGCUUAUUGCUUUAUCUCGAGGAGGCUGAGCCGAUCGCUUCGAAGAUGUCUGAAUUUGUAUCUUUGGAAGAGCCUUAGGCGUGUAUAGCCUUCGAGUUGUAACUUGCCGAGUACUUUGUUGUUGUAUUUGAGACAAUUUCUGAAUUUUAUUUGAAGUUUGAUGAAUGAUCUUGUCUUUGGCUAAUCUUUGUAGUUGGGGGGAGCAAGUCCGAGUUUUAGCCGAGUAGUCGCAUUGUCUGCUGCAGACGUCAAUUAUUGGUGUUGCUGUUCGAAAGUACUCUGACGUUUUCUGCACUUUUAAGAGGAGUGCACGGGCGACCUGUUCACUUUUGUUUUUUGCGGUUGAAUGCCUUCACGUGAGUGGGUCAGAAAGCGUCUCGUUGACUCUUGUCAGUGAUUUAAGGCUUGUCGUCAUGAGCAGACAGUAACUUCCGAGUAGGUAGUGGUUGUGGCGUUUGGCUAUAAAUACACCACCGGGGGGGUCGACCAAGGCCAUGCUUCUCCGGAGUAGCAAUGGAUUGCUUUAUAUUGCUGUUAUUUGGUUGUAGAAAACUUUCAAAGAGUGCCCUGGUGCUAGAAGAUUCCUCGUAGAUUAGAGCCACCUUUCCUGCACAUACUCUUGUGCUCGUAGGGGUAGCCGCGAUGCUAGAAGAAUCCUCGUAGGAGGGUUUAUCGCGUGCCUCAUCUUGCAGCUUGUAAUCCAGCUAAGUCUGUGCUAGAACUCGCGAGUGAUGGGUGAUGGGUGCCGCGGUCUUUAUCCGGCUCUCUUAUUAGAGAUGGAGGUGUGGCGUGCAGUGUGGGACGGUGCGCUGAAGCUAGCAAGGGAGCAUUCUUGGUUCUUUUUCUCCUUUAUGCUGCGCCGGGGAUUCAUCAUUGCCGCUGUCGAGGGAGCGGCAGUAAAGGAAUUCCUGGUGUUGUUUGGGAGGACGACCAGGAUAUGGCUGCGUACUGCGCAGCUUCCUUGCAUGCAGGCCCUGCCUUUUGAUACUGCUUACACCUUGGUGUUCUAGUAGUCGCCAGGCCUGUGUAUCCUUGUGAUACAGUAAAAGCCCGAGGCUUGUGUGUAGACUACCAGUAGGCAGUUGCUUGUAGUCUUUGUUGUGCUGUUUUAUUGUAUUUUGAGUACCCUGGAUCUGUUCUGAGUAAUCGUAUGUAACUUCAAAAAAUUAUCCCAUUCAAAGCAAUCUUGAGUUUAUUUGAUGAUUGCGUCGGUCUUGCUUGAGUAAAAAAUGACUAAAUGAUGCAGUCGUGGUUUUUGCGAAAACUGCUUUUCUUCUGAAGUUGAGAACUCGUACUGAAGCUUUAGUGCCUGUAGGUACUUCUAGGGAUUGUUGAUGAAUCGGAGACUUGAUGAAAGCAAGUCGUUGGUCGAGAGUAGAGCGUGGGGGCUCGCAGUCGGAGAGCUCGAGUAGCUGUGAAUAGCCCAUAGUGACUUGUAGGGAUUUUGAUGAAAUCAAGUCGGAGAUCGGAGCAUUGGAGCUCAUCAGGCUGGAGGCCCCGAGUGGCCCAGAAUAGGGGUUUGUUUGAAAAACUUGGGGCGAAGGCCCGAGUACAUGCUCUGUAGUCUACUACGGGUAGUAGCGACAAAGAUGUUCUAUAUUCUAGGAAUUUGGUAUUUGUUCACCUGAGAGUUCUCGUAGUCUGUAUGUUCGGGGUCCUGUGACCUUGGAUACGAUGUAGGGACCUUCCCAUGGCGAGUUGAGCUUGUGCAACCCUGAUGUGUCCUGGAUUCGUUUGAGGACCAUGUCGCCUAAGUUGAAGGAUCGCUCUUUAAUAUUGCGGUCGUGGUAGCGUCUUAACCCGUCGAUGUAUCUGCCUGAUUGAAUUAGGGCUGCACAUCUUGUUUCUUCCAGACUAUUCCUUCAUCAUAUUGUUCGACUGCAGGAGACUGCCACAUGACAUCUGCGGGGAGGAUAGCUUCUGAUCCAUAUACAAGAAAAUAGGGGGAGAACCCAGUAGACUUGCAUGGUUGGGUUCGUAGUCCCCACAGGACAUUAGGUAGUUCUUUGAGCAAUUUGCCUCCUCUUGUGUUGCCGAUGUCGUGUAGCCUUUUCUUGAGUGCUUCGAGUAUCAUGCUGUUGGCACGCUCAACUUGUCCAUUGGCCCUUGGGUGAGCAACCGAGACAUAUCGUACGUCAAUUCCACUAUUCUCGCAAUAUUCCCAAAAAUCAUGGUUGUUGAAGUUGGAUCCUAGGUCGGUGAUUAUCCUGUUUGGGAAACCGUAGCGAUGUACAAUUUCAUCCAGGAAGUCGAGGACUCGAUCUGCCUUGGGGCAAGUGAUGGGUUUGAUUUUGAUCCAUUUGGUGAAUUUGUCGAUGGCUAUGAGAACUCGAUUGAAGCCUCCUGGCGCAAUUGGUAGUGGUCCUAUCAUAUCUAGCCCCCAGCAAGUGAAAGGCCAUGUUGGAGGGAUUGUGAUGAGUUUGUAGGUGGGGACGUGUUGCUGCUUAGUGAAGAACUAGCAGCCUUGGCAUUUGCGGACCAAUUGUUUUACAUCGGCCAAUGCCAUGGGCCAGUAAAAGCCUACUCUGAAAACUUUGCCUAUGAUUGUUCGUGAAGAGGCGUGAUUACCACAGAUUCCUUUGUGUAUUUCUUCUAAGAUUUCUUGGCCUUCUUCUCGGGUAACACAUUUCAUGAGUACCCCUGAUGAUGCGCUUUUCUUGUAGAGCUUGUCCCCGACUAGAACGUAGUUUUUUCCUCGUCACGAAAUUUGCUCAGCUUGAUUUUUAUCAGAUGGCAACUUAUGAUCUUUGAUGUAGUCAACGAAAGGUGAUCUCCAGUCGAUUUCUAUCAUCAUGAGCUCCUGAUUGGUUUUGGUAGGUUUGAUGACUAGUGGUGUGAUUUGUUUUGGUAUGGAUGGCUUAUGGAGCUCGUGUACAAAAAUUCCUGCUGGAACUUCUGCACGAGUUGAGUUCAUUUUUGAUAAUACGUUAGCAGCUACGUUGUUGUCACGGACAAUAUGAUGAAAUUCGAAGCCUGAGAACUUGUUUUCUAGUUUGUGGACUUCUUUGCAGUAAGCGUCCAUGUUUUCCUUGUUUCGAUCCCACUCGUCAUUGACUUGGUUAAUGACGACUAGCAAAUCGCCGUAUACUAGUAGUCGUUUGAUUCCAAGGGAGAUUACAAGACAAAGACCGUGUAGCAGCACUUUGUAUUCGGCUUCAUUGUUUGAGACUUCCCAAAUGAUUUGAAGGACGUAUUUGAGUUGUUCUCCUUUUGGGGAAAUCAAGAGUACUCCUGCGCCAGCUCCUUCAAGCUUGAGGGAAUCAUCGAAGUACAUGAACCAGUGCUCUGGCCUCUUAACUGGUGUUGGUACUUGAUUUUCCAUCCAUUCAGCCAUGAUGUCGACCAAAGCUUGAGAUUUGAUAGCUGUUCUUGGUACUUGGUUUGAAGUCUAAGGAUAGGGCUCCGAGCUCUACUGCCCAUUUUGAAAUUCUACCCGUUGCAUCCCUGUUGUGAAGGAUUUCGCCAAGCGGGAAGUCGGUGAUGAUUGUUAUGCUGUGUUCUUGAAAGUAAUGUCGCAGCUUUCGUGAAGUGAGCAGAAUUGCGUAGAGCAGCUUUUGUAUUGGUGGCUACCGAGUUUUGGAGUCUGAGGUUACUUCACUGACGAAGUAAACAAGUCUCUGGACUUUAUAAGUGUGACCUGCUUCAGACCGUUCGACUACUACUGCGGUGCUGACGACGUGAGUGGUAGCAGCUAUGUAUAGGAGCAAGUCUUUAUUUGGGGAUGGAGCAGUGAGGAUUGGUGGUUUUGACAGAAAGUCCUUGAGUUGUGUCAAGGCUUUGUCUACCUCUUCUGUCCAUUGAAACUUAUCCUGACGUUUGAGAAGCUUGAAGAACGGUAGUCCGUGUUCUCCAAGUCUCGAGAUGAACCGAUUAAGGGUUGCCAUGCAGCCUGUGAGUUUUUGCACAUCCUUGAUGCCAGCUGGUGCUUGCAUAUUUGUGCUGGCAGAUAUUUUCUCCAGGUUGGCCUCAAUGCCGCGGUGGCUAAUGAUGAACCCGAGUAGUUUGCCAGAAGGUACACCAAAAAUGCAUUUGGUAGAGUUAAGUUUCCAGCGGAAAGCUCGCAGGCUUGAGAAGGUUUCCUCCAAAUCGGUGAUUAGAUCUUCCUAUUUUCUUGUUUUGACGACUACGUCGUCCAUGUAAGCUUCUAUGUUGCGGUGUAAUUGCUUCUCGAAGCACAUCUGUAUAGCGCACUCAUAAGUUGCGCUUGCAAUUUUUUAACCCAAAUGACAUUGUUUUGUAGCAGAAUGCCCCAAACGGAGUGAUGAAGGCUGUUUUGGCUUGGUCUUCUUCUUUGAGGCUUAUUUUGUGGUAACCUGAAUAGCAGUCAAGACAGCAGAGUAAAUCGUACCCGGCAGUAGAAUCGACUACCUGGUCGAUCUAGGGUAGUCCAAAAGAGUCCUUUGGAGAAUGUUUGUUGAGAUCCGUGUAGUCGACGCACAUUCUCCAUUUGUUGUUUUUCUUGCGGACGAGUACAUUGUUGGCUAACCAAUCAGGGUGAAAAACUUCUUUGAUGAACCCUGCUGCAAGUAGUUUGGCAAGCUCUUUUUUAAUUGCUUCCCUUUUGUCUUGGGCGAACCUCCACAGGCGUUGUCGUUUUGGGGUAGCUUUGGGAUCAACAUUUAGUGAAUGCUCAAUCAGUUCCUUGGGCACACCAGGCAUGUCGGCUGGCUUCCAGGCGAAGAUAUCAUGGUUAGCCCAAAGAAAACUAAUGAGCGCGGUUUCCUAUUUGGGAUCUAGCCCUAUUCCAAUCAGAGCUGUCUUAGAAGAGUCGCUAGUCUGGAGAUCAACUAUUUUGAAAUCUCUCUCACUUGCUGGCUUUGCUUUUGUUGGCCCUGAUUUGUUUUCUAGGAUUUCGAGUUCUGUCGGAUGAAGUUUCUUUGAAGCUGAGAGAACUUGUUGCAUAGGGCUAGGCGCUUGAGAAGAUGUUGCGAUCUCCAUGGCUUCGGUGUCGCAUUCGUAGGAUCGCCUUAGGUCUCCUUGUAGCAUUAAUUCUCCCUUGGGUCCUGGCAUCUUGAGUAAUAAGAAGAUGUAAUGUGGUAUAGCCAUAAACUUGGCCAGAGCUGGUCUCCCGAGUAUGGCAUGGUAAGAGGUUUCGAAGUCGGCGACUUCAAAUCUGAUGUACUCGGUUUGGUAAUGUUCCUUUGUGGCGAAAGUUUUUGGUAGGAUGACUUGGCCUAAUGGUAUGGCUGCAUUUCUUGGUACAAUCCCGUAAAAUGGUGAGUCCGUUGGAGUGAGCAUGUCUGUGAUGUCAGGACACAUUUUUCUUAGUGUUUUGGUGAAGAUGACGUUGAGUCCGCUUCCACCAUCGAUGAGUACUUUGGUCAAUCUUGAGCCUGCGAUAACAGGAUCGAGUACUAGGGGGAAUCUGCCUGAUUCUGAGAAACUUGUCCAUUGAUCCCUUCUGCUGAAGGUUAUGGGUACCUCAGACCAUUUUUGUGGUGUGGGAGCAGCUGGCUCGAUGGCCAUAAUUUCUGUGAGUACCAGCUUGCUGGAUCGUUUGGAUGCGGUACUCGGGAUUCCACCAAAAAUAACGUUGACUGUUUUGGAGGCGGUCUGGAAGUCUCCCUCGCCUUCUUCAUCCUUAUCGAUUUUAUUUUUGCCCUUAUCCUUUUUAUGAUUAUAUUCUUCUGGAGGUGGUGGUGCGGGUAAAUCUUGCAUUACUCGGCCCAUGCUGUAGCAAUCUAUCGCUGAAUGUUUGUUGUUUGGGUGCCAUGGGCAUUGUUUCUUGAGUAGUUCGAUGAAGGUGGGUCCUUCAUCGCGUUUGCGAGAUCCUUUCUUUCCUGAGUUGGUCAUAGAAGCAACAGUGUUGUCAAGCUUGCGUUUGCGGUUUGAGUUACUCGAGUAGUUAUUUCGAGUAUCGGUAUUCCAGUUCCUGUCUUGCUCAUGACUGUUAUUGUCGCGCCUGUGGUUGCGAUGGGAGCCGAAUCGCUCACCCUCUUUAUGUUCUUCGUCUGCCCAUUGUUGUACCAUGACUUUGAGAUCCUUGAUAGUGAUCGAUCGUCAUCUGCCAAAGUCUUGGUAUGUUCGACGAUCGUAGAGGCCAUUUUGAAAGCACUCGAUGAUGUCUGUUUCUGAAAUGUCGACUAUAGUAGCCUUUUCUCGAAGAAUCGACGCAGGUAGUCAUAGUGUCUCACCUUUUUUUUGUUUUACUUGACUUAGGUCAAUCUUGUUGCUUGGUUGGGUCAUGGAGCCCGUGUAGUUGUUGGUGAAAGCUUUUGUCAAAUCUUCCCAAGAGUCAAUUGUUCUAGGUUUUAGUGACUCAAGCCACGUUAGAGGUGCGGGUUCCAUGCAUAUGGGAAAAUGGAUGACCUUUGUGUCAUCGUUGCCUCCGGCUACCUAAACUGCCAACGAGUAACACCGGAGCCAUUGGACUGGGUCCUGCUUGCCAUCAUACUUAGUGAUUCCUAUUGGUUUGAAUUUUUUAGGUAACCUUAUCCUCAUUACCCGCGUAGUGAAAGCAGGGAAAUGGUUAUAAUUGUCGACUUCGCGUUUGCGUUUGCGACGACUAUUGAUUAUUUCCUGUAGAUCGCUGAAAUUUGAUACUUCGUGAUUUUUUCUGCCAUGGCGAGGACUUUUUGCAGAGUUGGUGCAGCUGGCAUCUCCGACGUCUUUAUGUCAUAUUGGGGCCUUGCGUUUGCUUUGUCCUUGGCUAUGUUGCCUUGGUUGGUUGUCUACUUCAUUGUUGUUUCUUUGAGCUUCGUGAUGGCCAUUGUUGGCUGCGGCACCCCUGCUGCCCUCUCGAUGGGCCGAGUUGUGAGGAACAGAUGGGAUUGGUGAUUCUUUAUCGAGUAGUUUGUAAGCUUGUUCUGCGAGUUGUGCGAUUAGUCCAUUGCCUCUCUACGCGAGUUGAGCUGUUAAUUCAUUAUCUCUGUCGUGAGGUAUGAGAGUUGAUAUGAGAUUGAUUGAGGCGAUUGCUGCGAGUGGAGUGUUGUGUUCUUGGGCUUGUAUUGCGUCGAAUGAUCUUUCAAGGUUCAUGAUAGGGAUGUUUGUGGCUAGCAGUUGUCGACGCUCAGCCCGAGUAAUAUUUCGUGCCCUUCUUUGGUUUCUUUGCUUGGAAGUUUCGUCUUGCGGGGCGUUAGCCGAUGACUCAUCCUCUGAAACAUUAUUGGGCUGUGCUAUCUGUCGAGGUGUUCUCUUUUGGCUAGUACCCACAUUAUUGUUUUGAGUGAUGACAAAAAUUUCUCUGUCUGGGUAGUAGCUUCCAGAGCUUGAUGUUGCAAUUUCUGUAGUGCUUUUCUCGCGGUUUGAAGUGAGCGGGACGCCUUCUUGAUAUGACAGGUUGUCUGUGUGAGCGACAAGGCGCGACUCGUAGUCAUGGGCAAGGAAAGAUGGCUUCAUCCCUGGCCAGUUAAUGAAUCUGCUGUGUGGAGUUGAGGUAACUACCAGACCUUGCGCUGGACCUAAUAAUGGAAUUUCUUGGACGUAGCCCGAGUCGAGGUUGCAGUCCAUAUCCUCCCGGUGUUCGAGUUGGGUUCGAGUAAGGAGACCUUGGUAGACUUCGGCUGUGUUGCGGAGUCCGUACGGGUAUCGUCUCUGAGUCGAAGUCGACUUGCGAGGUGACUGGGGCUUUAGCUUGUGCCGACUAGUCCGAGUUGAGGUCGAGUCGGAGCCGUAGUCGAACUCGGUGUUGUUGACUUUGAAAACUUGGUUUUCCUCGACGAAAUCUUCCAUCUCUUGCUGAAGAAAGCUUUCGUCGAGAGGUUCCUUCUCCUGGAUGCUGAUGAUGUGGUGCUGAAAUGAUCCAGCACCGUCGGCGAUGCAAAGCCAGGAUCCGAAAACAAAGGUUGCGCCUGCCUCAAAGGUGAAAGCAAGCUUGAUAAUGAUAGAUGCCAUCGAACUUGCAUGGAGAAACUCGGUGACGACCCCUACCUGGCGCGCCAGCUGUCGGUGUUUGAGACCGGCAACCCACCUAGGGGGUACCCUAGGCGGUCUUUUGUGCGGUGGGUGUUGUCGAGAAUCAAGGAGUCGAUGGUGAUGUAAGGAACACAAUUUAGACAGGUUCGGGCUGCUAGAUUGCGUAGUACCCUACGUCCUGUGUGUUGAUUGUAUUGAACUUAGAUGAUCUGUUUGGAGGGGGUCCCUGCCCACCCUUAUAUGAUCGGGGGAGCAGGGUUACAGGGUAGAAACCUAGUUGGGUAUGGUUAUAGAGUCCUACUCGGUCUAGAUAGAAUAGUUUUCUUAUAUAUUCCAACUAGUCUUUAGGAGUCCGAGUGGGCCAUGCUUCCCUGCCGCGUAGCCCCCGAGCCCUAAUCUCAUCCGAGUACGCCCCUGAGUGGGCCGUACAGGGCCUACUCGUGAGCCUGGGGAUGUAUGCCUAAUAGACUCUAUGGAAAUAGGCCAAAAAUCUACUAGUGCAACCACUUCCCCUCCCUCAUCAUUUCGCUUUCUUGGAACCGCAACCCCUGCCUCAUCCAUAACUUCCCCCUUCUCUAUCUAUUAGGAGUCCUCCAUUGUUCACCCUCUACCUUCUUAUUUGGCAGUCAAGUCAAUCUCUGCUCAAUCAUGGAUCCUUCCUAAGAAAAUCUUAUGCCAGAUCUUAUUGUGAGCAUCACUAAUAAGAUCAGUGAUGCAAGAGAUUUCAUCAGGUUCAAAGUAAUCUGUAAGAGUGAACUACACUCGUUCAGGUGAGGCAUGCCUGUUUGACCCUUGGAUUCUAAAAUCCAAAGAUAUCGGUGAAUCUAGUGCAGUGACAUUCGCAUCCGUCAUGGAUUACUAGCUUUUUGAUGUCACCUUUCUAGCAUUAGCUGGGAAAAGGACUACGUUGAUUUGUUGCGAAGAAUCUGGAUGCCUAGUCGCAGUACACAGCAAUGGGAGCACCGUGAUCCUGUUGAAUCCUUUGUCUCAUCGGGAGCACAUUAUCCUUUCUCGACUUCCAACAUAGUGCCAUAUGGCUGCUCUUGAUGCUUGUAUCAUGGGCUUGGAAACACCUACUAGCGCAGCUCUUCUGAACACUUGCAGAUCUACUUGGGGCAUCCUCUUCCAGAACCUCCUCAAGCCGUUGGACUCCAGUUAUCAUGGGUCCUUGACAUGAGCAACUCUUCUCUACUCCAAGGUCAAGACCAAUUGUUCUUUGUUGUUCAGGAGGAGAGGAUGCACAACGAGUAGAGAGAUGUUGAGGUGGUGGAAUUUACUCUGCAUUCAUUCAUCAGUGACAUCUAGCAGCCUAUUCCCUAGGAGAUAGCUCCAGAGUUCCAGAAUAAGAUCAUCCUGUUUGGACCUGGCAAGUGCAUUGUUGUACAAGAGCAUGCAUGUAACAUCACACUUUUUAGAGCAUUUAAAUAUACAGGCCUUUUAAAAUUUUCUUUAAAUUAAGUCCAUUUUUCAUCUUCCCGAAUAUUCAAAACUAAUUUCACAAACAAAUCUUGCAUUAAACCAACAUAUGCGUUGCACUAAAUUGCCUCCCUUAGGAAACCCACCUUUUUGAAACUAACUCUCUAGAAACUAGAAAUAGAACCUCCAAGAAUCUUUUUUCUUUCUUCUCCAAAGCCUAGAACUAAUAUUCAAAUUAAAUUUGAAUAUUAAUUCCAUAAGGUUCCUAUCCAAUCCUAGUCCUAUCCCAACAUCUUCAAAUUUAGAUCCCCCUACCAAAGUUGUAAUAACUAUUCCAAGCCCCACUCUAAAACCUAUUCAAAUUUGAAAUCCUUUUCAAAUUUGAGUUCAAACUCCAAUUCACUUAAAAGAAAAACGUUCUAAUCUUGCCAUGGGCUGCCAACCCCAAAAUUGGCUCGCUCACUCUUCCAGCCCAGCCUGCCUCCGUUCCUCCCUUCCUGGCAUGCACACUCGCUUCGGCCUGCUCACGCGCCCGCCUCUUGUGGCUCAGCAGCGCACCACGGCCCAGCUCGCAUCCCUGCGCUAGCCCACCACACCGGCCUGGCUUGCCCCAGCUUCUCCUCCUCUGCACUCACCAGCGUCGCCGUUGGUGGGGAGGAAUUCCCCCGCCGCCACCAUGUGUGACCAUAGGCCUCUACCAAGCCACCACGCUGCAAUUACCGUGCCGCCAGUUGCAAUCACCACACCACCGCCGGAUAGGUGGAGCCCCCGGCCAUGUGCCACCUCCCUCCCCCCCCCCCCCCCCGCGUGCUUCCCCUUCCCUUAUAUCCUCUGUGCUUGGGACACUAAACCCUGCCCGGCCGCCGUUGUGCCACGCCGACACCCUACCACAUGUGCUGCGUUUCUUCACCACCAAGACACCCAGGUGCACGCACCUUCUGCCCUGCCUCUCCUCUACGCCGGCAGCAGGCUACCUCACUUCCUCCAGCCGAUCCAAUCUGCCCGGCCGUGCACCCUCUCCCGCUCCUCUCUGCUCUAACCAGCACAUGCACACCUGCUAGAACCGUCUAGCCCCUCCUCUUGCUUAACCUCGAAGGUGAGCUUGGAGUCAAUGCUCUCGGCCAAUUCGAGCCGCCUACCAGGCCAUCUCCUCCGCCCCUAACAAGCGCAGCACCGCCCACGGCCACCUCAUCUGCCUGCCACCAUUAAUACUGCCACCCUUAUCUCCUCGCCGUGCAUGUCCCCCUUGGCCACCAAGCAGCCCGGCUCUACGUGGCAAGCAUACGUGCUCCCUCGCCGCCUAUAAAAGGAGACAGAGCCCCUCUUGUCGGGGAUAGAUCCCGAGUACCGCAAGGAAGGAAGAAGAUGAACUCCUACUAGGAUUUUCUUGUAAUCCUACUAGGACUCAUACCAUGUAAUCCUAGUAGGACUCCUCCUUGUAACAGACUAGUAAUCCCGCCCCCUGAGUGUUGGCGCUGAAAAUCGGCCGAUGACCCUCAGUGUCGGACACAUGACCCGGGUGAAUCUGCUUAACUCCUAUUUGGGUUAUUACCCUGGUGCGGUUUGCGUGGCGUGCCAGUCAAUCUGACCUGUUGAUUGACAAGGAAUAAAAGUAUUAAAUUCUAGGGGCUUCAAUUGGCUAAAUUUCCGAUCUGUCUUGAAAAGCGUAUUAGCGAAUCGGCCGAUUUACUAUAGAGAUGACCGGCUAUAAACAGCUGAUAUCCGUGUAGCAAUUCUGAGAAAAACAACUAGGGCAACCUAGACAACACUACAAAGGCAACACUUGGAAUAGAUCUAAUUGGCUAUUGUGAUGAUAAAGAAAAAUAAUAAUGAAAAGCCGACAAUUCGUGUCUCAAGCUGGAUAACUGGUGAUAAAACUAGAGCAAUAAAUAAAACCUAUAAUUCUAGUUAAUAUUGAUAACUGGUGAAUAAAUCUAAAUGAAACAACAGCGAUGCACCCGAAGUUAAAGAUUAGAUAUUACUCGAUAAGCGGAACUUACAGAUUUUCUAGAGAUCAUGUCGAUGCAACCCUGCCAACUCGUACAAACUCGUGAAAAGAAAAGGUUUUGGCGAAGUCACCGACUUGAAAGUAAAGUACGAGGAAAGAGUAGAUUUGUUGUAUUGAUUGAUUGAUGUUUACAAGCCUCACAAGGCAGCUAUUUAUACCCUGUUGCAACCAAUCUCUUAACCGACUAGGAUCUAUCUCUAAUUUUAAACGAUAACAAAUAUUUAUAAACACAACUCGUAUCGGAGUUGGUUACUAUCUCCCCAUGGGCCAAUCUCCUUUUUUCAGCUAAUCUUCAUCUUGGCCCACCUCAGGCCCAUACCGGCCAAGCCAUCCCGAUUCCCAAUCGGCCAGCCUCUAUCAACUCCCUCUGCCAGUUGGCCGAAACAUUGUAGCUUUAAUCAGCCAAUUCCCAACUGUAGCUUCUAGCCGCCGCACCGGCUGCCUUUCUUCUUCUUUGACGCCGAUUCCAAACACGUGUCAAAAUCCGGCGUCAACACAUGCCCCCCAGUUUCGGAGUAAAACACAACUUUUGCUUCGAAACCUUUUCAACUCUAACUCCUUCCCCAAAGAAAACGCAACAGUAAGCAUGACGAAAGCUCUUUUUCGCUCCGCAGUCUUCUCUCUGAUGAUCGCAGUUUUUUUUUAACGAAGCGCUUGCAGGCAACCGCUAUCCCCAAAAUUCAUGUAGACGGUGCGGUAAAAAUCCUGCCUUUACCCUUCUCUCGAACCGUCCUUAAAUAUUCGCAUCCUCCACCGCUUCUUCUCACAAACUCAGAAGCCUUCCUUCUCCGGCGAAUCACCUCCCGUCGCAUUCCGGCACCCUUUCAACUUCCAGCUGCAUCCCUUCGGUGAUUCUCCCUUCAUCUUCUGAUCAUCUCACUCUGGUUCAUUCCAAUGGCGAUCCCAUCAGCGACCAUGGCCUUCAUCCAAGAGGUAAAUACCCCAAUUUUUUUCCCUUUUCACCUUUUUACCAUUUCACGCAUUUUUUUAGAUCUGUUCUUAGCUUUCUCUUUAUAUCCUUCUUAGGAGCUUAGGCAGAGGAUCACCAUCCCUAUCUGUAACGCACCCGGCCUCAUCGGCCAUGGCCCCAUGGGGAAUCCAGAUCCCACUGAAUUGAUCAACUUGGAAACCCACAGGAUCCCCUUCAAGCAAUCAGUCAUGGAUCUAAACCACUGGACAAGCGCAUUUAGGUCUUGGCCGAACGAAACCCCUAGCUGGAGGGAAUGGUUUCAGAGAAUGUCAAACUCCAAGAGAGUUCUUUGGGACAAAAUGAAAAUCGUCCACUGCAUAAACUUGUCCUUAUCUCAACUGGAGAGGAAUGAUUCUUUGGUCAUCGCGGCGUCUUACUUCUGGUCUGACGCACUCAAUGCAUUCCUCUUCGGCCACGGGCCCAUGACCCCUAAUUUGGCUGAUGUCCUGAUGCUAACCGGCCUUGACGUCUCCUCUCGUGACUCACCCUUUGAUUUCCUGGUCAAGCCCACUCAUCGUCUGGAAAUAAAAGGAAUUGGCGGGUGGAAGGGCUUUAUUGAGAAAAAUAUGAAGACUGGGCCUAUCGAUGGCAGAGAGUACACAUCUUUUCUGAUGAUGUGGCUAGAGAAGCACUUCUUUUGCGACAAAGCAGUUGGCCCUUCUUCCAACACACAAGCUCUGGCCGAGGCCCUAGCAAGAGGCUCUACUGUCCCUUUGGGAAAACACCUGCUAGGAUCAAUUUACUAUAUGGUGCACCAGAUUGCUAUCAAGCUGUCAUCCGGAGAGCCGAUUGGGAACUCUGGUGGUCCCUAGUGGUUUAUUACCCUCUAGCUUAAUUUAUACAUGAGCAAGGUCUCUAGGGAACGAGUCGAGACCAAGACGUUCCCCAAUAUUGAAUCAGAGGAUGACCCAACAUCAAGACGGCGUUGCACCUCCUUUGGUGAGGCAGUGUCAGCUUUUCCUAGCAGCAGAUUCACCCCGACAAAAACAGCUGAGUACUUUAGAUGUUUCUACAUAGGCUUUAGUGAAGAAACCACAAGCUGGUAUCCAUAUCAGAGAGAUGAACCACUCUUUGAAAACCCUGACUGCUUUGACUCAACCAGCAGCUCUUUUGAGAACGAGCUCAUGGACAUUUUGAUCAAGCCUGGGAUUCUUCCAGGAAAGUUCUUCUCGGGAAAGGACUCCCCAACUUAUGAGUUUUACAACCCAUCAGUGGCAACUCGGCAAUUUGGCCUAGGGCAGACGCUGAUUAAAAUUUACUUUGUCAGCCGUGUGAAGUUUCGAGAAUGGUUUUCAAGAGGAUUUGAAUACAAUCGGCUGUGCAACUUGAUGCCAGAUUCCAGCACCAUCGACUUGACCAAUUGGGUAGUAGCACCCUUCUCCGUCCAACAAUUCAAGUUAUGGUGGGGCGAAUGGAAACAACACCUUUUUUGUGCAUCUUCUGCAUCAUAUUGCAACGAGCUGGAUCCCAUUAAUAUUGAUCCAAACGCCAAGGUAAUACCCUUUCUCAGCCAAUUUCUCACUGUUUUUCCCUAGGGUCGUCGCUGACCUCCCUUCUUUGUGUAGUCCAAAAGCCAGCCUCCUCCAACGCGCAGCCGAAGCGAUAGGUUGAUAGAAAGUCACCACCCGUAUACUUCAUUUCCAAUCAUCAGCUUUCACUCUCCGUCGAUGGAAGACAUAGUCACUGGCUGAUUGAAGCAAAAGCUAAAAAUAUCUUCUUCAAAGAAAACAAGCCGUCGGGUGCGCGCCCGCACGGAAUCGGCUGCUCAAUCGGCACUGCCAGCCGAGCCCUCAACUACACCGACUCUUCCAGUCAUUCAGGAGGUUGACCCCCAAACAGCCUCAGAAGUCGGAUCGGCGGCUGCAUCCUUAUUAGUAGAAGCUGUCCAGGUAAUCUUACAUGUUGCAAUCCUUCUAAGUAUACUAUCAUCACUUUAACUUGGCUCCUUAUCAGGUUGCACAAAUCCUCCCGGAGCAAACUUCUCAUCAAACAGCCGCACCUCAAGCAGGGACCGAGUCACCAGUGGUCCUUCCAAUCGUGGUAAGGAAUAUACCUUUUAUUUAUUUUUUUCAAUCUUCAAUUAAAACUGACUGACUCCUUGGCAUAGACAACUCUGGGUACAUCAAUCGUACCUUUCCAACAGCCACCGGCCGCGCAAUUUGCAGAGGUAAGACAACUGACACCCAUUUCUAGAUCCAUUCACCCCCAUGCACUCAUAGAGACUUGUCCUAUCAUACUUUAGGAGGCUGGUCCAAGCACCGCACCAAUCAUCGUCGAAUCCUCUUCCUUUGACGAGCCGGCCGCGCUGAUUCCCGAGCCAAGGAUAACAUUCCCACCAGCGCAGGCAGAAGAAAUCUAUUGUAACGAGGUAAAGACCUUCACUAUUUAAACCAGCUGAUUUCCUACUACUGUUGGCUAAUCCAUAUCUUCCUUUUUACUUUCUUAGGAGCAAGACACGGCCAACAACAGCCUCUUUUCAUUUGUCGUUGCCGUCUCUGAUGAUGAAGAUGUUGCCUCUUGUUAGGUGGCUUUGGGUUCAAUUCCUGAAGAAAUUCGUGCUAAGCUCCAGAGCAUCCGAACCCUCCUUCAGGAUGACAUCGGCCGAUUGGUAGAAGACAUCUCGCCGAUGCGGUAGAUCUUCAACGAAAUAAAAGGUCGAGUCCCAGAGGACGCAGAAGAAACUCUUGCACCCGCGGCAUAUAUCGAUUCAAUGCAGAUCCUGGUGUUCAGAGCCCUGCGGCAUAUGGCCGAUCGUGCCAAGCUGGCAAAGGCGUGCGAAGAGGAAGAAUCCUACAAGCACCGAGCUCAAGAGGUACAUCAUCGAAUCGGUGCACUUGAGAAUUCUUGCUCGGCCAUCGUUGGCACCAUAGACCGUCUCAAAUGGCGUAGGGCAGAGCUCACCAAGGAGAUGGAGCAGGUCAUGAAGGCCAUCGCCACUAAAGAGAAGAAGCUCCACGGUCUUCCGGCCAUCAUCGCCGAUUUGAAGCAGGAGAGGCAAACUCCUGGCCACGAGGCCAUCCGACUUCAUCGCAACAUGCUAGAGGUCCCUGGAUCGGCAGAAGAUGACCAACAGGUACUAGACUCAGCAGACCAGAUCCGCCAGCGGGUGAUUGUAGCCAUUAAUACUCUCCUUGAGUGAAUGUAUCAAACAUUGAAUCGUCCUUAGAACGCUUUUGUACGAACAUUUAAUGCCCUAUUGCCGUUGCUGUGCGAAUACAAACUUGAACAUUUCCCCUUCGCAGCAUUUUAACCCAACGGUCAUUUGCUUUGAAUGGAUGCCUUUACUAACCGUUGCCCCUCUAUUUUCCUCCUAUAAUAUGAGGUCUCCGCGUAUCUCCCAGAGGCACUCGCAUCUCAUCCAUCCUUCUACCCCUUGCUUGACCAUUUUCAGAUCCCCAACCGGGCGCCGAGAUGUCUUCCUCUUCCUCUGUCAAUUAGGUACGAAGUCACCCUUGCGCUCCUUGACCAAUUCUUUUUGAUGACUGAUUGCCCACUGUUUUUCCAGCCAACCCGGCUCAGCCCUGAUCUCGAGCGGGCUAUCGAGAUUAUGCACUCCAAGGAACCACUAACGCAGGCGGACAAAGACUUGAUCGAAACCCACCGUGAGGAACUUAAAGACCAUCUUCCAGCUCACAUCGAGAAGAUUGUGGAUCACAUCGAAGCCAACAACUCUAGGAAACCACCUCAACCGCCAAUUGAGAGGAGCCACCAGCUGCCUCACCAGGUCGCUCUCGAAGAUGCCAUGGUGGACAUGGAGGAGAAGAGCACCCGUCUCCUAAUCCAACUAGGCCGGAUUCAAAGAGACAUUGACGCAAGCAAAGCCUAGUUGAAACACCAUUAACCACAUUGUAGUAUGUUGGUACUUUUAUUCUAAGGGCGACUUGUACCAUGUCGGUCAUGUACCCAAACAAUGUACCAAAUAAUAAUCGACCUGUUUGAGUGGAGAUUUUUCUUGUUUUUUCGUCCUCAAGGUGAUGUCCCCUUGCAUCGGCUAUGCAAACACGAGUCAAUAGGAAUCGGCCGCAAGGGCUCGAUACGCUAACUCAUCAGCUAGGCAUCUACCCAUAUGCUGGGAUAGUAUCUCUUUAAAUAUCUUCCAUUCAAAGCCCAUGUAAAUUCUUCUCCUUCGAUAGUCUCCAAUAUGUACGCAUUUCCUGGUGCGAACUAACUGAUCUAUAUGGCCCUUCCCAAGUAGGCGACCACUUACCGUAUUUGGGAUCCUUAGAUCAUAUCGGCAGGACCAAUUUCCAUACCAAAUCCCCUUGGGAGAACUGCUUGAUCUUAACCUUCUUGUUAUACCACCUGGUGACUCUUUUCUUAUUCUCCUCAAUACUGAUCAAAGCCCUCAAUCGCUGACCCGCCAAAUCGUCCAACUCCCCUUUCAUGAGGAGAGAAUAAUCGUCGGCUGCCAACUGAUCUUGAAGUGACAUGCGUCUAGACCCAGUUCUCAAUUCCCAAGGUAGCACCGCCUCAUGUCCAUACACUAAUUGGUAAGGAGAUACUUUGGUAGCAUCGUGGCAGGCUAUCCUAUACUCCCACAAAGACUCGCUCAAAGUCGCGUGCCCUCUCCUUGGUUGCUCCUCUAUCUUCCUCUUGAUCAACUUGAUUAUCCCUUUAUUGGACGAUUCAGCCUAACCAUUAGCCUGAGCAUAACACGGAGAAGAAUUUAACAAUUUAAUUCCCAUGUCGGCAGUGAACUCCUCAAACUCUCCUGAAGUAAACAUUGUUCCCUGAUCAAUUGUAAUGGUCUGAGGAAUAACAAACCGAUAGGCAAUGUGCCUUUACAAAUUCAAUCAUGACGACCGAUGUCACGGUUUUCAGAGGGACUGCCUCCACCCAUUUGGUGAAGUAGUCAGUAGCCACCAAUAUAAACUUGUUCCCUUUGCUUGAUGGAGGAUAAAUCUGUCCGAUAAGAUUGAUUCCCCAACCUCUGAACGACCACGGCUUAAUUAUUGGGUUCAUAGCUGAAGCUGGUGCUCGUUGCACGUUGCCGAAUCUCUAACAAUCCUGACACCCCUUAUAAUAUUUAAAGCGAUCUUCGAGAAUCAUCAGCCAAUAAUAACCAUUGUUUCGAAUCAUCCACUUCAUCUUGUAGGCCGAUUGAUGGGCCCCGCAUACGCUUUCGUGAAUUUCUCCGAUCAGAAUCUUUGCCUCUUCUAACCCAAGGCAUUUGAGUAGCACUCCAUCAAUCGUCCGAAAAAACAAGUCAUCUUUAAGUAGUACAUAUUUUGUAGCCUGAAAAUAUACUCGCCGAUCAACUUUCUUGGAUGGAUCUUUUAAGUAAUCGGCAAUCUCCUUCCUCCAAUCGUCGGCCGCAAGCUCCAGAGUCAUGGCCCCUUGAAUCAGCCGAUACCCAGAAGCAUGUUGGGCAAGCCUAUUGGCUUCUUUGUUGUAACCCCUGGGAAUAUGCUCAAUAAUUGCAGACUUGAACUCAUUCAGUAACUAGAGACAAUCUUCAUAGUAGAUCCUCAAGAUAUCAUCCUUGCAUUCAGACUUCCCGGUUAAUUGAUCCACAAUGAGGAUGGAAUCCCCAAAAAUUUCCACCGCAUCGGCUUUGACCUCCCUCAAUAAUUGAAUCCAUUUUCGAACAGCUCGGUAUUCCGCUUGAUUAUUAGUGGCGGAUGCUUCAAUUGGCAGAGAGAAAUCAUAACUCGCCCCCCGAGGCGAUAUGAGGAUGAUGUCGAUUCCUGAUCCAGCCCCACACGAAGACCCAUUGAAGCAUAGUGUCCACGACGCUGGCUCGACGACGGCAAACUCUGAUCCACAGUGCUAGGCCACGAAAUCAGCCAUUACUUGCCCCUUGAUAGACUUGGCUGAUUCGUACCUUAGGUCGAAUUCUGAGAGGGCCAGAAUCCAUUUUCCAAUUCUCCCUUUCAAAAUCGGUAGUGAUAACAUAUAUUUGACAACAUCGUCUUCGCAUACAACCAGGCACUCCGCCGAUAGCAGGUAGUGCCUGAGUUUGGUACAAGAAAAAUAUAAACAAAGGCACAGCCGCUCCACCGAAGGAUAUCUGGUUUCAGCAUCCAGAAGUCUUCUGCUGACGUAAUAGAUUACUCUUUCUUUCCCCUCGAACUCCCGGACCAGCGCCGAUCCAAUAGCUCGUUCAUCAGCCGAUAGGUACAGUCUGAAUGGCUUAUCAGCCUGCGGAGGGACCAAUACCAGGGGUGAGACUAAGUACUAAUUAAUGUUGUCCAACGCUUUGUGUUGUUCUUCACCCCAGACAAAUUCUUGGUCGGGCUUCAAUUUCAACAAAGGGGUGAAAGCUUGAAUACGCUCAGACAAGUUAGAUAUGAACCGCCAGAUGAAGUUGACUUUGCCGAUUAAGGACUGUAGCUCGAUCUUGUCUUGUGGGGCCACAACCUUGUUGAUGGCAGCUAUAAUCUUCUGAUUGAUCUCGUUGCUGUGCUCGUGGACCAUGAAACCCAGAAAUUGACCAGCCGAAACACUGAAGGCACAUUUGUUAGGAUUCAUUUUCAACCCAUGCUUCCUUGUGCAUUCCAACAGUUUCCGCAAAUUGGCCAGAUGCUCUUGAUGCCCCUUUGACUUGACCACAACAUCAUCAAUGUAGAUCUCCACUAGGACCCCAAUAAGCUUAUGGAAUAUAUAAUUCAUGGCCAAUUGAUAUGUAGCUCCAGCAUUUUUCAAACCGAAAGUCAUCACCACCCACUCAAACAAACCGAGAUGGCCUGGACAUCUGAAGGCCGUCUUUGAGAUAUCUUCUUUGGCCAUUAAUAUUUGAUUAUACCCAGCAUUACCAUCCAUAAAGCUGAUGACUUUGUGUCCCGCGGCCACGUCUAUUAAAACAUCAGCCGUUACCAUCCAUAAAGCUGAUGACUUUGUGUCCCGCGGCCACGUCUAUUAAAACAUCAGCCGUUGGCAUCAGAUAUCCAUCCAUCGGAGUAGAUUGAUUAAGAUUCCUGAAGUCAAUGCACAUGCGUAACUUUCCAUUUUUCUUGUAUACGGGCAUAAUAUCGGAAAUCCACUCGGCAUAGCGACACUGCCGAAUAAACCCUGCUAAUCAAUCUUGUAAUCUCGACCUUUAUAUCAGGUAGAAUUUUAGGGUUACACCGUCAUGCAGGCUGCUGAUAUGGCUGAUACCCUAAUUUUAUAGGCAAUCGGUGUUCAAUAAUGGACCGGUCUAGACCAGACAUCUCAUGGUACUCCCAAGCAAAACAAUCUUUAAAUUCUUUUAACAAACUUGUUAACUCACGCUUAUACUCGGGGUCUAACUUAGCACUGAUAUACGUCGGCCUCGGCUUGCUGCCGUCCCCAAGGUCCACCAUCUCUAGUGAAUCGGCCAACAUAAACCCAUGCCCAAGCUUCCCAUCUUCUUAGAUGAACUGAUCCAUUUAAUUUUAUUCUUCAGAGCCGACUGUGUGGAUCAGCUGUAGACCAAAAUUGGACACCUUCAGGAAAUCAGUGUCCCAAGUUUUGCCAGAUAUGCAUCUGACGUGUUCGCAGCUCCACUAUUGCGCGUCGACCGCGGCAACGCUGUAGACAAAAUCGGCGGUGACUACUUUGAUGGUGUCGCCGACCCAUUGGACGAGGCAUUGGUGCAUUGUAGACGGGAUGCAGCAGUUCGCAUGGAUCCAAUCCCGCCCAAGCAACAUAUUGUAGGACCCUUUGCCAUUAAUAACAAAGAAAGUAGUGGGUAGGGUCUUACUUCCGAUGGUGAGGUCGACAUAGAGUGCCCCCGGGCUGGAGAUACGUUGCCUUCGAAAUCCUUGAGCAUCAUGUCCGUCUUGGUUAGAUCUUCUUCUCCUUUACCCAGCUUGCAGAACAUGGCAUACGGCAUGAUGUUCACAGCAGCGCCCCCAUCCACUAGCAUCUUAGCGACCGGUCAUCCAUUGACGUGUCCUUUAAGGAACAGAGCCUUGAGAUGCAGGCAUUUUUCAUCUUUGGGUUUCUCAAAAGUGGCAGUCAUUGGCUCCAAAGCCAACUGUGCCAUCUGUUCCUCUAUCCCUGCCGCGUCGACUCAGUCGGAGGGAACCAUGAACUCUAUCGGCAAGAUGAACACCAUGCUGACGUUAGCUGCCGAAUCAUGAUCGUUGUCUCCUUCGCCGGUUUUUCUUCUGGGGCACCAAACUCGAGACCUAUCCCCUUUCUUAUCCACCCCUUGCCUUUGUUCCUCUUCUCGCUGCUCCCAUUGGCAUAAAUGCUGGACUCUCCAUUUCUGGGACUUAGUUAAACCGUAUGGGCACCAUCUGGGGUUUACUGGCUUGCUAGGCGGUUUUGCACGCUCCUAGUCUGGCUCUCGCCCCAGGGGGGUUCUCAUCUGAGACUCUUGCGUCAGCCAUCUCUCCCAGUCGAUCAUGUGCACUGGUCCUGCCCCCCAGCCGAUUACGCUGGUCAACUCUACCCCCAGCUGAUCUCCUUGCUCGUGCCUGUUUCUGCUAAUUGGCUCUAGUCCUCGAUCCCUAGAGCAUGAUCUCUUGAAUGGGCAGCUGGUACGAUACUGACCGUUGCACUUAGGGCAGUUAUCGACCAACGGUAAUCUAAGGUUACUUUCCCAGCAGUGAAUGAAAAAUGGGCACCUCCAGUGGUCCUUGUGUUGGCACAUCAUCUCCGCGUGACGUCUUGAGUCCUCCUACUACCGCUGGUAUUUGCUGAGUAAGUCUUGGGAGGUGACCAGUCGAUGUGGUCUUUCUGAUCCUUCGCCUUCGGUUUCCAUCUGUCCUUUUCCUUUGACAUCCUCGGUUGAGGCCUGAUUUCUGGGAUCGACGGCGCCGCUCCUUCUGGCCGAUUCUGACGUCAGCACCUUGGUUUGGAGUGCGUUUUUUCCCACGUCAACCAUGUUUGCAGGGAAGAGGUGUUGAUCGAUCUUCAUUGGCUUUGCUGGCUUCACCGAGACUUCAAACUUUAGUCUUCCUUGCUCAAUGGCUGACUGUAUUUGUUGAUAGAAGAUCUUGCACUCGUUGGUGUCAUGAGAUGUGGCAUUGUGCACUUGCAAUAUUUCAUCUUUUUGAGCUGCUCGGCCGACGGAAUCCUAUGGUAAGGUGAGAGUUUGAUCUGUCUCUCCUAAAGUAGCAAGUCAAAGAUUUUCUCGGCCUUGGACGUGUCGAAGCCAAAUGUCUCCGGUUCCUUUUUGCCGAACGGGCACGAUAUUAGCUUUUUCCCUUUUACCCAUUCCGCCAGGCCGAUUUCUACCUCUUCUUCCAAUUCGGACCCUUCCACAUACGCCACUUUCUUCUGGAAAUUUCUUCAUUGGUCGGAGGGGUGCACUUCCUGGCUGGAUAGCCGGUGAACGAUUUGGCUCAAGCUCUCGAACUCUUGGGAAGCGUAUUUCUCCUUGAUGUGUGGCAGGAGUCCUUGGAAAGCGAUAUCGGUGAACUGCACGUUGGUCAAGACCAGGGUGUAGCACUUGUUCCUGACUUCCCUGAAUCUUUGUAUGUAGCUGGUUACUGAUUCAUCGCUUCUUUGCAUGAGGCUGGUCAGAUCUGAGAGUUUCAUCUCGUGGACCCCUGCAUAGAAGUAUUUAUGGAAUUCCUUUUCCAAAUCGGCCCAGGUAACGAUGGAGUUGGGCGUUAGUGUAGUGAACCAUUGGAAGGCUGAUCCGGACAGGGAUGAUGAGAACAGGCGCACCCUCAGAGCAUCUUGUGUAGCAGCCUCCCCGCACUGGAUGAUGAACAUAUUAACGUGCUCCACCAUCGAUGUGUCGUCCAGGCCCGAGAACUUGGUGAAGUCAAGGACUUUGUACCGAUUAGGGAAUGGCAACAGGUCGUAAGUAGGCAGAUACGGCAUCCUGUACGUGUAAGUCUGCACUUUUGGUUUCAAACCGAACUGAUCUUGAAUUAUGUCCGCAAUCCUUGCGGUCUAGUCCACCUGCUGCUGAUGCUGCUCCUGCUGAUUCACGACCGGCUGAGGAACCGGCACGUGCUGUUGGACUUGCGGUACCACGAUCGGGUGAUAGACUGGAGCAUGCUGCAGAUCUUGUGGCUGGGCAGUCGGCUGAGGAGCCGAUGGCUGCUACCGUAGUGCAUCUGUUGCCUCAUCAUACAAUAUUAUCGGCGCCGCAAUUCUGAGUGGUUCCGGAGCACCUGCCCCCCUGCCGAUUUCUGAAGUGGUCUGCUGGUAUUGCGAGGCUUUCAGCCGAGAGGCUGAUGGGAACGAUGCCUGAACUGGAGAUCUCCCAUAACUAGUGGAUGGGUCCAGAUCAGCAGAUGUCGCCAUUGCUCCCCAUGGUACCGAGCUUGAAAACGGCGAUUGUACCGGGGGAAUUGGUGCAGGAUGAAACGACGCUUGUGAUUGAUAGAGCGUUGCACCGUUAUAUCCCAGGGGCAUUGAAGUAUUGUACCCUCCACUUUGCAUCUGCAUCGGCUGAGGAGCCGAGUAAGACGUAUUUGGCACCAUUGAGAAGCUCCUGAUUGGUGCCACGGUAGGAGGGGCAUAAGCUGGUCCCUGAUACCCCUGAGCUGCGCUGUUGACCAUGGAACUAAUGACGGCGUUGUACACAGUGUUGGUCAUCACCUUGGACUGGUCGAUCAUAGCCUGAUAAACAGACUGCUGGAUCAUCUCAGACAUCUUUCCUGAGUCCUCGGUGACGGUGAUAUGGCGGGAAGUCGGAAGAGGAGCUUUCUUGACAGUCUCCCCGCUUCUGGUAUGACUAAAGGAUUGUAGGCAUGUCUUCCUAUAUUCUUCUAAAGCCCAUGCCACUUCCUCCUUCUGGUUGUCCUUGAGAUCUGCUUCAGUCACUUCAAUGAUGUUAUCUUCAGAGAUCUCAGCAGCCUUUGACAUGUUGGAUCCUGCUUCGGUCCCACUAGGCGUGCCAAAAGCGUGUUGGCGCUAAAAAUCAAACCAUGACCCUUAGCGUCGGACACAUGACCCGGGAGAAUCUGCUUAACUCCUGUUCGGGUUAUUGCCCUGGUGCAGUUCGCGCAGUAUGCCAGUCAAUCUGACCUAUUGAUUAACGAGGAAAGAAAAGUAUUAAAUUCUAGGGGCUUCGAUCGGCUAAAUUUCCGAUCUGUCUUGAAGAGCGUAUUAGUGAAUCGGCCGAUUUACUAUAGAGAUGACCGGCUAUAAACAGCUGAUAUCCGUGUAGCAAUUGUGAGGAAAACAACUAGAGCAACCUAGACAACACUACAAAGGCAAUAGUUGGAAUAGAUCUAAUUGGCUAUUGUGAUGAUAAAGAAAAAUAAUAACGAAAAGCCGACAAUUCGUGUCUCAAGCUGGAUAACUGGUGAUAAAACUAGAGCAAUAAAUAAAACCUAUAAUUCUAGUUAAUAUUGAUAACUGGUGAAUAAAUCUAAACGAAACAACAGCGAUGCGCCCAAAGUUAAAGAUUAGAUAUUACUCGAUAAGCGGAACUUACAGAUUUUCCAGAGAUCGUGUUGAUGCAACCCUGCCAACUCGUACGAACUAGUGAAAAGAAAAGGUUUUGGCGAAGUCGCCGACUUGAAAGUAAAGUACGAGGAAAGAGUAGAUUUGUUGUAUUGAUUGAUUGAUGUUUACAAGCCUCACGAGGUAGCUAUUGAUACCCUGUUGCAACCAAUCUGUUAACCGACUAGGAUCUAUCUCUAAUUUUAAACGAUAACAAAUAUUUACAAACACAACUCAUAUCAGAGUUGGUUACUAUCUCCCCACGGGCCAAUCUCAUUUUUUCAGCUAAUCUUCAUCUUGGCCCACCUCAGGCCCAUACCGGCCAAGCCAUCCCGACUCCCAAUCGGCCAGCCUCUAUCAACUCCCUCUGCCAGUUGGCCGAAACACUGUAGCUUUAAUCGGUCGAUUCCCAACUGCAGCUUCUAGCCGCUGCACCGGCCGCCUUUCUUCUUCUUUGAUGCCGAUUCCAAACACAUGUCAAAAUCCGGCAUCAAAACUGAGUAUAUAUAAAAGAGGGCAGGGGUACCUAGAUUGGUAGCUUGGAGCAUUAGACCAACAGAGCUUAGAACCAUCAUCAAAUAGCCAACAACUAGGCUACACAACACCCAAGCGCGAGCCAUCGGCGAUGCAGAGCCAGGAUCCAAAAACGAAGGUGGCGCCCGCUUCGAUGAAGAAGACGGGCUUGACAAUGACCGUUGCCAUUGAGUUCGCACUGAGAAACUCGACGAGUUCCCCUACCUGGCGCGCUAGCUGUCGGUGUUUUAGAUUGGCAACCCGCCUAGGGGGUACCCUAGGUGGUCUUUUAUGCAGUAAGGAUCGUCGAGAAUCAAGGAAUCAAUGGUGACGCAAGGAACACGAUUUAGAUAGGUUCGGGCUGCUAGAUCGCGUAAUACCCUACGUCCUGUGUGUUGGUUUGUAUUGAUUUUGGAUGAACUGGAGUUGUCCUUGAGGGGGGUCCCUGCCCGCCCUUAUAUACACGGAAGGGCAGGGUUACAAGUCUGAGUCCUAAUCGAGUAUUAUUACAGAGUUCUACUCGGUAUGGCCCGAGUAGUUUUCCAUACACAUACUUGACUAGUCCAAGUGGGAUAUGCCUAUCCCUUGUCCUGAUCGUGUCCGAGUACGCCCCUCAGUGGGCCGUCCAAGGUCUACUUGUGGGCCUGGGGUGCAUGCCCGACAAGCCCCCGAGUACUUUAUAGUCGUGCGCCACAGUCUUGGGCACUGUGGGCAUUAUCCGAGUAGUUCAUCGUAGAGGUUGCGGACCGAAGUGCUCGAGUAUUGUCGCGCGGCUGGAAGGUACUCUUCUUGUUCCUUCGAGUUGUUUCUGUUCCGGGAAUUUUUAUAUGGUAGUGCGAUGUCAAUCGCACUCCAUAUAGAGUAGCCCCCGAGCCUUAGGUUGAGUUGAAGAGUCAGGCUUAGGGUCAAUCCUGCCUUUUGUCUAUUUUACCCAUGGAAAUCUUGAAAAAGAAAAAACUGACCAUCGGGUACGGUACCCACAGCCCCCGAGCACUUAGGCAAGUUCUGUCGUUGAAGUGGUCAGAAACCCAUUGAAAAGAGUAGCCGUUGGGUGUUUAAGGCAAUUAAUCUGCUUAAAAUCCGUCCGUUGCGUAACUGACGCUUGGAAUCUGGAGGUGGCAGAGAUAAAACUGGAGGGCCCCCUUUCGGUUAGGUUUACCCCCUGCAGUAAUCAGAUCUAUUUUUCUUCCUCCCCUGCGCUUCUGCUCCGCGUUUGUGCCAUCACAAUUGCCAAGCACAACCGCCGCCAUUGCUCCCCCUUGAGAGAGAUCCGAGAGUGAGUGCGUUUUGCUGAGGUUCAAAUCGGCGGAUGCGUACCAAGAAGAUGGGCAAGAGACCCGAGAAGAUCCAGGGCAAGGCUCCGGCUGUGGGCAAGGCUCCGGCGACGGGCAAGGCUCCGGCGAUGGGCAAGGUGAAGUCCAAGAAAGGGAAGGAACUGGUGCUGCCGGCGCCGAAGGUGGGGUCGACGAAUCAGACUGCACCGCUACUGCCUGGAGUGACAUGGCAGCAUUCGGUGAUGAAGGAGGAGGCCGUGCAAGCACUAGUCGAUGCCAAGCUUCUGCAGCCGAAGGAAAUACUCGAGUGGCGCCCAGCAUUUCCAAAUGCGUGGCAAUUUGAGGAACAUCCAGGCGAGAUAGUGAUGCUCGCACACUUUGUGGAGAGGGGGUUGGCGGUGCCCACCUCCGACUUCUUCAAAGGUAUCCUCGAGUACUAUAAGCUUCAACAUGUUCAUUUGAACCCCAAUGGUGUACUGCAUAUGUCCAUUUUCGUACACCUCUGCGAAGUUUAUUUGGGAGUUCCUCCAAGUCUCGAGUUGUUUAGGAAGUUGUUCCGCUGUAAGCCGCAGCCAAGUGCACAAAGGACAGAAGUCUUUGGAGGCGUCGGGUUCCAACUUAGGAACUCGGGUGCAUAUAUUGAGUAUAAUUUGACUGACUCCCAUGGGGAGUGGAAGAAAAGGUGGUUCUACAUCGGGAACCAUGAUCCUCGCUUGCCUGUGGCGAUUGGUCACGCGCACAAGCAUGCAGAAAACUGGGUGAGCGAACCUGAAGACACCCCAGAGCUUGACCACUUGAUGCAACAGAUUACCGAGUUGAAGGCACUCGGUCUUACUGGGAUAAAUGUGGCAGCUAGUUUUUUGAAGAGAAGAGUCCAGCCGCUUCAGAAAUGUGCUCACUCGGGGAGUCAGUACACAGGUCUUAAUGAUCCAUCGCAUAUGUCUGAUGAGGAUAUAUCCGAUGAUGAUGUAGAGGCAUUGCUGGCUAAGUUCUUCAGGAACUAUCAGGGAGUACCAGUGAUCCCUGCCGCUCUUCGGCAGUAUGAUGCCUGGUAUGAGCCAGAAGUGGUAUGUUCUGGCGCUUGACUUGUACUUUUUGACUUGUUGUGAUAUUUGUUUAAUAUCGACUUGUUGUCUUGUAGUCUCGAGUUCUUGCCGGCUACUUAACAUAGUCGGAAGAAGAGGAGACUGUUGUCAAGGAGUCAGAGGACGAGCCCUCUCCUCCUACGAAGAAACGCAGAGUAGUCCGCAAAAUGUCUGCGGCUAAGUCUGCUUCAACCCUUGAGAAGUCUCGGGGUACCAAGGUAUGUAGUCGUGUACUCAAUUGUAGCUGAUGAAGUUGAGCUUGCAAUCAUUGUGACUACUUUGUCUUGUUCAAAAAGGUUGUUGAUACGGCACUUGGUGAUGAUGAGGCUGCUUCUGAAGAAGUAGUCGUGACCGACCCUGACGUCGGUAAUGCAUCUGUUGAUAUGGUGCCAAAGAGGGUGCCAGCGACAGAAGCUGAAGUAGCCCCCGAGCUGACCGCACAGGCUCCGUCGGCUACCACACUGCCAGUUACUGACCAGGCAGUUCUGGGGUUGCCCGCCGGAGUAGCGGGUAUUGCAAAGGAGGUGUCGCCAGUAGUCGCUACUGGAUCCUUGUUGUCUAGUGUAAUCGCCAGUGGUAAGCUUUAUGUCCCGACUAAUUUCGUUUGUCCAAGUGGUAUUGUAGUCUUAACUUCUGCUUCCCAGGUUUUGGCGAGAGGACAGCGCCGUCAGCUGUUCCUGCGACGCCGAGUACUCGGUCGCUUAUCACCGAGAAGAAACAUGUGCGAUUUCUGCCAUGCUCAACCCGGUGAGCUUGCUUGUCCAUUGUAUAGCUUUAAGUUGUCUUGAAGUCGUAUAAUGACAUAUUUUGAUGCAGAGAUGCAGAAGAAACUAUCCCUAUAGAGACAAGGGUAGAGUCGGAUCCCCCGACUACAUUAUCUGCUCCCUUGGAGGAUUUAAUUGUUGAGGAGGUACCCGAAGUCGAUGCCGGUCGCCUUGGAGCUACUAUGUCUAUGCUCCAAGAUGUCAUCCGUUUGGUGGAAGUUCCUGCCGCCGCGUCGGGUUCAGGAAGUGCUGCCUUAUCAACAUCCACUGGCAGAUCUCUGGCUGUAGUUGGUGUGGAAAAAUCCAAAGAGGCAACUGCUCUAGGUAUGUUUCUGUAGUCCUAUUAUUGUAGUCGUAGCAGGCAUGUGACUGAUGAUAAAUGUUGUAGGUGCCACUUUGGGUGCAACUCCUCAUCUUGCGAAGAGUACUCAAAGACCAGUGCUCAGCCUACCAUCUGACUCGGAGUUCUAGAGGGCCGUCGAUGUUUUCCGGAGCUUCCAGGUGAAUUUCCUUUGCGUUGUCACAUAGAUCGAGUAAUUGUGAGGCUUUUAACUGAUUGUAUUGCCUUGCAUACUCGGACCCGUCAGGAACGAAGUCAUCAAUUGGAGCAGGAAUGUGCUCGACUGAUAGAAGCCUUAAGGGUUCACGAGGUUGGAGGGAAGUCUUUUGCUGUGGAACAGUCGGAUCACGAAGUCCUGCAGCAAAAACUAGAGACCCGCUACAAGUCUCUGAACAAAAAGUAUCAAGGUGAGUACUUUGCAUACUCCGAGCAUGUCCGAUUGUAGUACGCUAUGGUUGAACUUGUUUGUCUUGUAGAGCUCAAGAGGCAAGAGGCGGCAGCAAGGAGCCAAGUCCUCGACUGGAGAAACGCACACGAUCGAGUGGCGGAUGAAGCUGAACGUCUUCGAGCCAUGCUGAUGGAAGCACAGGCUGCUUGCGAGCAUCAGCGGGACAGGAAGAUGCAGAAUGGCGUGAUGCUUGCCAUGGCCAUGGUGGCAUGCAGAGAUCAUGCCCAGACCAUGGGAAGACUCCGAGGUGAACUCCAGAAGUUGACUAUAGCAGCUGAAGACUUGGUGAACGCCAUAGCCCCCGUGGAAGAGGGCGCAGGGCCUCAAUCAUUAGUUGAGCAAUUGAAGGCUGCCCCGAGUAAAGUGGCAGGACUCUGUAAAGCUGUUUGUAAACAGGUCCUUGCCGUUGUGAAGUCCUACUACCCGAGGGCGGACUUGGCGGCUGCUGGUGACGGCGUGGCUCACAACUGCACAGAAGAAGCAUAUGCGCAGUACCUUGAGGAGGCAGAGCCUAUCGCGUCGAAAAUGUCAGAGUUUGUCUCUCCAGAAGAGCCUUGAGCGUUUUAUGUACUCUUGAAACUGUUUCGAGUACUUUGAACAAUACUGUGACAAAUAAAUGCUGGCCCAUUGUUUUGUUGCUUGAAGUGGUUAUCUUGCAAAGAGUAGUUGUAGUCCAUCUCGCCCGAAUUGAAGUGGCUAGAUCAGCGAAGCCCAACCCCUAAAGUGGGGAACUCUGCUUUGCCCAAUCCUGGGUUCCAGGGUCGGGUGCGGCUGACCCCUUGAGGGAAAGAACUCCGCCUCGCCCAACCCUGGGUUCCAGGGUCGGGUGCAGCCGACCCCUUGAGGGAAAGAACUUCGCCUCGCCCGACCCUGGGUUCCAGGGUCGGGUGCGGCCGACCCGUGAAUAGAGGGUCGGAUCCUGCCAAGCCCCCAAGAUGUGGGCCGUGCCUGGCUAGAGUAAUUCUGAGUUUCGAGUAGUCGCAAUGCUGUCGAGUACUCUGCUUUUGAGGGGCACGGGUGUACUGUACUCUUUUGUCCUUUGUGGAUGCACGGGUGUACUAUACUCUUUUGUCCUUUGUAGCAUAAGUGCCAUCACGUGGGUAGAGUCAGAAGUCAUCAGACUCAUUGAUCACGGGCGCACAGUAACUCUUUGGUACAUGGUAGUUGCAGCUCUCGGAUAUAAAUAGAUCCAUCUGGAUGUCGACCCAAACCAAGUUUCUGAGUAGCAAUGGAUUGCCUUCGGUUGCUUUUGUUUGAGUGUAGAGAGCCAUCAAAGAGUGCACCGGUGCUAGAAGAUUCCUCAUAGAUUGAGGCCACCUUCCCUUCACAGACUCCUAUGCUCGUAGGGAUAACCGCGAUGCUAGAAGAAUCCUCGUAGGAGGUUUCAUCGCGCGCCUCAUCUUGCAGCUCGUGAUCCAGUGGAGUACGCACUGGAACUCGCGGGUGAUAGGUGAUGAGUGUCGCGGUCUUUAUCCCGCUCUCUUAGAGGUGGAGGUGUGGCCGUAGAGUGGAUUGGCUCGGCAAGGCUAGCAAAAGAGCAGCCUUGGUUCCCUCUAGGCGUGUCGCGCGGGAUUCAUCGUGGCCGCUGUCAAGGCAGUGGCGAUGCAGGAGUUCUUGGCGUUGCCUUGGGCAGAGGACUUGGAUAUGGCUGCGUUUUGCGCAGCUUCCUUGCGUGUAGGCCCAUCCUGUUGUAGUCGGCAGACCUGAGUGGCCUUGGGAUAUAGUAAAAGCCUGAGGCUUAAAUGCAGCCCGCCAGUAGGCUAUUGCUUGUAGUCUUUGUGUAUUUCGAGUACUUAUACUCGUAUGUAACUUGAUGAUGUAUCUUCGGUUCUGAGUAAAGAAUUACUUUACGGAAUUUUUGUACCAGGGCAAUGAUCCUUGUUGAGUUGAUAAUUCUUGAGUCAAGACUAAUGUAUUUUGAAGUCGGUAAUCGAGCUGAUAGCUCAAGUAGUCAUCAUGAGUUGUUGCCUUGAAGCAAGUACUCGGAUGCUGCUAUGGGUAAUAACGACAAAGGUGUUCUAUAUUCCAAGAGUUUGGUACUUGUUCUCCUGAAAGCUCUUGGAGUCUAUAAGAUCCAGGUCCCAUAACCUUUGAUACGGUGUAAGGACCUUCCCAUGGUGAAUUUAGUUUAUGCAACCCCGUUGAUUCCUGGAUUCGCUUGAGGACCAUAUCUCCCAAGUUGAAAGAUCGUUCCGUGACGUUGCGGUCGUGGUAACGGCUCAAGCCAUCAAGGUACCUGGCAGAUUGCACUAGCCAUCGGCGAUGCAGAGCCAGGAUCCGAAAACAAAGGUGGCGCCCACUUCGAUGAAGAAGACGGGCUUGACGAUGACCAUUGCCAUUGAGUUCGCGCUGAGAAACUCGACGAGUUCCCCUACCUGGCGUGCUAGCUGUCGGUGUUUUAGACCGGCAACCCGCCUAGGGGGUACCCUAGGUGGUCUUUUAUGCGGUAAGGAUCGUCGAGAAUCAAGGAAUCAAUGGUGAUGCUAGGAACACGAUUUAGACAGGUUCAGGCCGCUAGAUCGCGUAAUACCCUACGUGUUGGUUUGUAUUGAUCUUGGAUGAACUGGAGUUGUCCUUGAGGGGGGGUCCCUGCCCGCCCUUAUAUACAGGGAGGGCAGGGUUACAAGUCGGAGUCCUAAUCGAGUAUUAUUACAAAGUUCUACUUGGUAUGGCCCGAGUAGUUUUCCAUACACAUACUUGACUAGUCCGAGUGGGAUACGCCUAUCCCUUGUCCUGGUCGUGUCCGAGUACGCCCCUUAGUGGGCCAUCCAAGGUCUACUCGUGGGCCUAGGGUGCAUGCCCGACAGGGUGCAAUAUACAUCUCAAACAAGAUGUAGGGUAUUACGCUACUCUAGCGGCCCGAACCUGUAUAAAUCUAUGCCUUGUGUCCUUUCUUUUACCUUUGAGUUCCAGGUCCAAUGAUUCCUCACCAACAAAUCUACUACCUCGAGAUACCCCUUGGUAGGUUGCCAGGUAUAAAACACCGACAUCUGGUGCGCUAGGUAGGGGUGAUUGUUGAGAUCAUCAGGCGAGCUUGAAGGACCUCACAAUCAAGAUCAAUCUACUCGACAAGAAGCAAGUCACUGAGUUGGAGUUUCGAGCAGACAAAUCUAUGUCGAGAAAGAAUCAACGCACUCCACGUUCCAAUCAAAGACUGGAUCGAUUUCUACUACAGGGUGUUGCAUACAGCUCGUCGAUCAAGUCACGCAUAGAUUGAGGCAAAUAAUCAAGUCACCGACGACUAGUUUGACUACUCCUCUCAACUAUAAAACUAGUCGACGAUGGACUAAUUCGACUACUCAUCUCGACUAAAAAACUAGUCGAGGAUGGUCUACUUUGAAUACUCGUCUCGACUAUAAAACUAGUCGGGACAGGCAUCACACCAUCGACAAAUAAUCGGAAUCGACUCCGACUAGUCGGCUUCAUCAAUAAUCAACAUGGCUUCAUCGACAAUCGUCCACAAAUAAAGCUAAGUCACUUUUUUAAUUUAUUUUAUAUAAUUUUUCUGGCUUAUUUUCCGCAUGCAGGACAACGUGUUGAGUACUUUUUUAUGUAUGCCUCUCGAUGGAAAUUACCCUCCAGAGCUACACUUUGCCAACUAUUCCUGUGGCAUGUUGACCGACAGCCACGGGCUUAGUACACCGAAUUACGGAGGCUACGGCCAUGGUUUUGGUGCAUUGAGUUUUGGAGGCACCACCAUGGGUUUGGUACAUUGAAUUUUGGAGGCAAUAGACACAGAUUUGAUGCACUGAAUACUGGAGGCUCACAACAGCUACACCCUAAGGUGGCACAAAUCCUAUGCGCACAACACGCGCUCUCCUCACCAAAAGGCAAAUAAGUCUCAACGACUACUUUAAGCGCAAUCGCGCUCUCUUUUGUUGCAAUGCCGACUACUUAUGUCUUCUCUUAACGGUUGCCAAUAUCCUUGAGUAGAACAUGCCUCAAUUCAUGAUAGCCUCAGAUCUUCUGUCAUGCCUAAACGCUAGCACGCAUACAUGAGAUAAAAAGAUCUCAGACGUGCAAACAGCAGCGCCAGUACAUGUACAUGAGAUACAAAGAUCUCACACACGCAAUGGCAAUGGCUAAACAGGGAUUGAGAGCCUAAACGUAAUACGCUAACUGCUGGAGACAAAUAUGAUCGAAACAAGAGCAUGACAUACAAUAUUUACAUUCAUCACUGAAUAAAAAUUCAGUAGUUCCAAAUUCUAGAAAUAUGCUACAUAAUGUAUGCAUCUCUUUUUACAGGUCAAGCUUUGGGGACGACUCUCCAGGAUGCUCAACGUACCUCCAGUGGCUCAGAUAGCUCUCAAGCUCAGGGGAUAACCACCAAUUACUACUCGGAAUACCUCUAGUAGCUCAGCUAGCUUCCAAGCUUGGGGGCUAAGCGCCAAUAACUACUCGACUUGCCUCCUACGGCUCACUUGGUGCAUAAGCUCGAGGGCUGAAUGCCACAAGACUAAUCGGAUGAUGACUUGUGUGAAGACUAAAUACCCUCGGAUUGAUUAAUUAAUCAUUCCAAGCCUUGGGUGCUGAUAAGCUACACCCAACAGUUGAUUUUUUCAAGAUGAAAUAAAGAAGAUUCAAGAUUUUAUAUUGACCCUCAGCCUGAUUCUUUGAUUCAACCUAAGGCUCGGGGGCUACUCCAUAAGGAGUGCGACUUCCGCCGCUCUCCAUAUCACAUUCCAAAGAUGAAGAUUACGAAAUCAAAAUGACCAAGAGCUUGAGCACACCAUAGCCUCAUGGCAGCUUCGAGGAACUUUGAAGAUUCAGCCAAACAAAGUACUCGAAGAGCACCAAAACUACUCGGCGAGGAUCUGAAAAGUACUUGAAGACUGCUGCAUUUGACUAUGAAGUGCUCGGGGCUUGUCAAGGAUAGAUCCCUAGUACCCGCAAGGAAGGAAGAAGAUGGACUCCUACUACAAUUCCACUAUAAUCCUACUAGGACUCAUACCAUGAAUCCUACUAGGACUCCUCCUUGUAACCGACUAGUAAUCUUGCCCCCUGAGUAUAUAAAGGAGGGCAGGGCUACCUAGAUCGGUAGCUUAGAGCCUUAGACCAACAGAGCUCAGAACCAUCAUCAAUAGCCAAAAACAAGGCUACACAACAUCGAAGCGCAGGGCACAAUAUACAAUAGGUCAAACAGGAUAUACGCUCCCACAACAUCACGCACCGAGCUAGGCCGGCCUGAGCUCUCUGCUCUCGUGGCUGCACCCCUUUCACUCCCACUCCCUCCUCCCAAAUGCCACGGGCGAGCUACCCUCGCCCUCCUCUUUCUCAUGGUACCAAUAGUAAGGCCGGAGGUGGCCAGUGGCGCCGGAUUGGCGCCACUCUGGUGAGCCGUGAUGGCGCAAAUGGCUGCCAUGGCAGCGCCACCUGUCUCCGAUGGUGAAACGGUAUGCCCCGCUUCACCCCGUCACCCUCCAUCCACUUCCUCCUCCUACCGCGUGGACCCGAACUUGACGCUAUCGCUCCCUUCCAUCAACCCUCAUUGCCUCGCGACCCUCUGCCUUGUCCAGAUGGACCAAAGACUUAUGGGGCGGUGUCGUCCACUAGUGUUGGUAUAUUUAAUGAUCACAAAUAAAUACGCAAGUGCACGGAUAUACCAUUGUAACAUUUCACCCAAGAGUAUUCCCAAGGGUAUCGUAUUUCCUAAAGAAGGUGGGUAAGUCAAAAGAGUUUACUAUGCAUACGAGUAUAGCAUAGAUGGAUAGAGACAAUACUCACGGCAGGGGUGAGAUAGAUAGAUAGAUAGAUAGAUAGAUAGAUAGAUAGUGUGACACACAUGAAUCAUCUCAAGAUAACUAAGCUAGGGAGAAGGACUAAGAGUUAGCUCUAUGUUCAUAUGUACUUCCUAUAUACUGCAAAGAUCAUACAAGCAUAACAUACAUACACAGUUACUGCUAAUUUCUAAACUCCUAUAGCAUACCUAAAUGUGGGGGAUUACGAAGGACCAACAGGGUUGUCACCACCUGCAGCCUACCCCUAGCAACCCAUGGGGUAAACUUAUACCCAAUGAGGCUAAGCAAUCCAAGCACCAUGCUUGCAUUGUUAACAACACUCCAGCUGACUCGAGCUAUUGUGACAAGGGCUAAAUCCGCUAUAGAAAUGGCCAUCGAACCGAUGCCGUAGCAUAGAUUAACUAAGCUAUACAAGAUAUAUAUGCACAUAAAAUAUAACAUGUAGCAUGGUCUCAAGGCAUACAUGGACGUAUGUAAGCCUAUACUAUGAUAGCAAGGGUAUAUAUGUAACUCAUGCAUAUGAGAACCAAACACAACACUAUAUAAAGAUGUAUACUUUGAAUAGAAUAUAGUCAACCUAGGAAUAAAAGAUACAAGAGCCAUACCUUAGACUCCAAGGAGACUUGGAACCUGAAGUAGAGCUACUCUAGCCUAACUCCACUUACUUGGAAACUAAGAGGGAGAGAGUGAUUCACUAGUUGUGUGUGUCCUAGAAUAGAGCCCCUCCCCUCAUAUGUAUAGGCUCCAAGAGGUGGUUCUAGCAGGGGAUCUUUGGCGAAUAUCCCAUAACCGACGUAGGGGAGUCACCACCAGUCGCCACUUAGAAGCAGAUCAUGAGGGGGGAGGCAGUUUGACCAAUCCAAGGGUUCGGCCGUGUGGCGGAACCACCCAAAUUAACCUGACUAAAAUGCACUUAAGUCACCUGACAUGCGAUCAUGCACUUUAAGCAAGCCAACUUGGUCAUCCGUCGGAUUUCAUCCGAUAAACCACUUACUCAGGAUCGAGAAGCAUCGCUCACACGAAGGUGAGUGGGCACAGAGAUUACAACAAUCCCAUCACGUUAACAUAGUUCAACAAUUUAUUACAUUAGAGUUUUCGAAAUUCAAACAGAGUUUGCAAGGUUGUAAACAAUGAAGAAGUAAAACAAACGGAAGCUACACGACGACACACAAUACCAUGGUGAAGCCGACCAUGAUAUCAAUUUCCACGAUCCACGCUGUCUAAGGACGAUUUCCACUCGACCGUCCAACCUAGAGGGAGUUGGGUCAACCAAGUCAAACUGGCAACCAUUUCCUCGAAAUCACACUACCUGAAAACAUAGCCAGAAGCAAGGCUGAGUAUACUAAUACUCAACAAGACUAACCCGUCAGGUGGUAACUACUCCACCAACUCCUAGACAUGCAAGGCUUUUUGGCUGUGGGUUUGUUUUUGCCAAAAGAGACUAAAGUUGGUCCUUACUUUCAAUAUUUUAGCUCAGAUUCUAAGUUCAUUAACCAGUCUAAAUUAGCAACUUAUACUAAGCAAGCAUUGUUUCCAAACAAUUUAAGGGACAAGCAUCAAGAUUAAUAUCAUCAUCAUGUCCCAUCUUUACUCAAUGUGGAAUAGCGACCAAGCAGUCCCAAACUGUGAGAGGCAGACAAAUCGAUUCGAAUUUAUUAACCAUGCAUGGCGAACCUAAACCCACGACAUCCACGCACCACGAAGGGUUGCUUCACUUGUUAGCCGUCCCCAUCGAUCUCUUAGGCACGUGUCAGGUCCAAACUUCCUUUGGCAUGCAAGGCUCCAUCAUCCUGGUCUCUGCCAUACUAUGACCGCACUUGCAUCCACAUGAUGCACCAUGGGAACGACGUUCCAAGGACAGUAGGAAUAUAAGCCACGCCCCAGUUCAAUGAGGUACUAGGCUUCGUCAUCCCAUACUAGGUAUGAGAUUAGUAGUUUCAAACACUUGAUCAUGAACGCCGACGCGUUUUGACCUUAGCAAGUUCAUUACUAGACAGACGGGGCAAACCACCACAUCGAACCAUUCCCGGUCCCAUCUGUCAUCCUUAUAGUUGUAGUAUGAGUAACCAACAACUCCUAUAACUCGCGAGUGACAGGCAAUCACUCGACUUUUACCAAGUCCUAUUUAGCACAGCAACUACUCUACUUUAGCAGCUAGUGUUCAGAUUAAAGUUACUAAGUUUAUGCAUCUAAGGUUUCAAUCAACUCCUAUAAACGUAAAUGCACAAUCAUAAGCAUCAACAUAUUGCAUAAUUUAAAAAUAGGAAAACAUGCACCGGGGCUUGCCUUCAGGUUCAAAAAAA